GGAGGAGUAAUCAAGCCUGGCCAAAGUAAGCACUUUGUGAGGAGUUCGUGGGUUCAAAUCCCACCUCCUCCA
This 72-nucleotide transfer RNA is filed under the name Nitrosopumilus ureiphilus. Its description in RNAcentral is "tRNA-Thr". It matches the Rfam family "tRNA". Rfam says of the family: Transfer RNA (tRNA) molecules are approximately 80 nucleotides in length. Their secondary structure includes four short double-helical elements and three loops (D, anti-codon, and T loops). Lineage: Archaea; Thermoproteati; Nitrososphaerota; Nitrososphaeria; Nitrosopumilales; Nitrosopumilaceae. The record is from RNAcentral.